RNAcentral lists this ribosomal RNA (253 nucleotides) under uncultured bacterium. Its description in RNAcentral is "partial 16S ribosomal RNA". It matches the Rfam family "Bacterial small subunit ribosomal RNA", at positions 524 to 776 of the family's 1533-position model. The record is from RNAcentral.
UACGAAGGGGGCUAUCGUUGCUCGGAAUUACUGGGCGUAAAGCGCACGUAGGCGGCUCUUUAAGUCGGGGGUGAAAUCCUGGAGCUCAACUCCAGAACUGCCUUCGAUACUGUAGAGCUUGAGUUCGGGAGAGGUGAGUGGAACUGCGAGUGUAGAGGUGAAAUUCGUAGAUAUUCGCAAGAACACCAGUGGCGAAGGCGGCUCACUGGCCCGAUACUGACGCUGAGGCACGAAAGCGUGGGGAGCAAACAGG